This is a long non-coding RNA of Herpailurus yagouaroundi (jaguarundi), 615 nucleotides long. RefSeq lists it as uncharacterized. The record is from RefSeq and is a predicted model, not a curated record. The transcript has 3 exons. NCBI's taxonomy places the organism in Eukaryota, Metazoa, Chordata, Mammalia, Carnivora, Felidae.
AGCCCUAACGGAGAGAUUCCCUGCCCGGGGCGGGGCGCUGGAGAGCUUCCCAGACACGGAAGGCGUCGGGGAGAACUUAUCCUGGAACUGCUGGACAGCUCCGGGACCUAGAGCGCCCCCUGCCAAACAGCGCCGAGAACCGGACUCUUGGUUCUCCAGGACCAGCACACAGCAGGAGACAAGGGCAGCAGAGCGAGUGUGCCUGUCCACGCUGAAAAGAAGAAAUGAUAGGAAAAACUGCACCAAGCUGGACAACGUCUAUCAUUAUACACAAGAUUUACCCCACUAAAGUGAGAUAAGAAGCAAAAUCAUCCACUGAGAGUGAGGAGCAGAAGCGAGGAGUUGGAAAUUUGAGAAGCAAGAAGAGGAGGUGAAAUAGUAAUCCCUGAGAGAGAAAAUAAAUCAAUAAGGAAAUAGGAACUGUGGUCGACUGAAUUGCAAAGACUGCACUGAGGCCCACUUGAGACAAACAGUCAUAAACUUUAAAAGAGAUCAAUCAGAAUAGUUAGGUGUUUUCCUCCAGCAAUCAAACUACAAGCUUGAGAAACAUUUAUUGAUUGUUUAUUAUGUGCCAAGCACUGAUGUAAGCAUUUUACUCCUAUUAAUACCGUUGAA